RNAcentral lists this unclassified non-coding RNA (224 nucleotides) under plant metagenome. Its description in RNAcentral is "partial contains small subunit ribosomal RNA and internal transcribed spacer 1". The stretch from base 1 to 46 matches the Rfam family "Eukaryotic small subunit ribosomal RNA", at positions 1786 to 1831 of the family's 1831-position model. The record is from RNAcentral.
AAGUCGUAACAAGGUCUCCGUAGGUGAACCUGCGGAGGGAUCAUUACACAAAUAUGAAGGCGGGGCUGGAACCCCUCCGGGGUUAGCAGCCUUGCUGCAAUUAUUAUCAUCCCUUCGUCUUUCGUCGUACUUCUUGUUUCCUUGGUGGGGUUCGCCCACCACUAGGACAAACAUAAACCCUUUUGUAAUUGCAAUCAGCGUCAGUAACAAAUUAAUAAUUACAA